Molecule: ribosomal RNA, 253 nt
Filed under: uncultured prokaryote
Description: partial 16S ribosomal RNA
Rfam family: Bacterial small subunit ribosomal RNA
Source: RNAcentral
ACGGAGGGUGCGAGCGUUGUCCGGAAUCACUGGGCGUAAAGGGCGCGUAGGCGGCCUGAUAAGUAGGGGGUGAAAUCCUGCGGCUUAACCGCAGGGCUGCCUUCUAAACUGUCAGGCUCGAGCACAGUAGAGGCAGGUGGAAUUCCCGGUGUAGCGGUGGAAUGCGUAGAGAUCGGGAUGAACAUCAGUGGCGAAGGCGGCUACCUGGCCUGUUCUUGACGCUGAGGCGCGAAAGCUAGGGGAGCAAACGGGA